UCUCGUCCUUCUUUUCUUUCUUUUUCUUUUCACUCUUUUUGUUUUUCUCUUUUUAUUUUUCUUGCUCAAUGGAUUGCUUCAUUUUAAGUUGAUCUUUAUAUACUUGCUUCGGCGUGAGAGGGGCUAAUGUUACAUUUCUUCCGAGGUGCUUGAAUGAAUAUCGAUUCAUGUAGCCAUCAUGGGUUACUCGAUGGUCAAACUGCCAAGGACGCCCCAACAAGAGGUGCCCUGCAUGCAUUGGCACGACGUCACACAUCACCUCGUCUUGGUAUUUUCCGAUGGAAAACAUCACCUUAGCUUGCUUGGUAACUCUUAGUUCACCCUCGUCGUUUAGCC
RNAcentral lists this long non-coding RNA (336 nucleotides) under Gossypium raimondii (Peruvian cotton). RNAcentral describes it as "long non-coding RNA (GRAI_LNC009305)". Lineage: Eukaryota; Viridiplantae; Streptophyta; Magnoliopsida; Malvales; Malvaceae. The record is from RNAcentral.